UACGUAGGGUGCGAGCGUUGUCCGGAAUUACUGGGCGUAAAGAGCUCGUAGGUGGUUUGUCGCGUUGUCCGUGAAAACUCACAGCUUAACUGUGAGCGUGCGGGCGAUACGGGCAGACUGGAGUACUGCAGGGGAGACUGGAAUUCCUGGUGUAGCGGUGGAAUGCGCAGAUAUCAGGAGGAACACCGGUGGCGAAGGCGGGUCUCUGGGCAGUAACUGACGCUGAGGAGCGAAAGCGUGGGGAGCGAACAGG
RNAcentral lists this ribosomal RNA (253 nucleotides) under uncultured bacterium. RNAcentral's name for it is "partial 16S ribosomal RNA". It matches the Rfam family "Bacterial small subunit ribosomal RNA", at positions 524 to 776 of the family's 1533-position model. The record is from RNAcentral.